UUUAAAUUAAAAAUUAUGUCAAAUAGUAUAUUAAAAAAGUUUAUAAAAAAAUGCUAAAAAUAAAUAUAAAUAGAUUUUUAUUAAAAGAAAAUCAAAACUAAGUAUAAUGGUUCGGUUUAGAAAAAUUGUCUUUUAAUAGUUUGGUACGGUUCGGAAUUCCGAACUGUUAUGCGAAACCAAAACUUUUGGUUCAGUUCGGUUCUAAGAAAAUUAAAAUGGUUCGGUACGGUUCGGAUGCCUUUAUAUAACGGUUCGGUUCAGUUUUCAGACAGAACUGAACCAUGAACAACCCUAAGCAGAACUAAUCUUUUCUCCUACGGUUCGGAUGCCUUUAUAUAACGGUUCAGUUUUCAGACAGAACCGAACCAUGAACAGCCCUAAGCAGAACUAAUCUUUUCUCCUAUCACUUCUCACUUGCCUUUUCCCUCUUCAUCUCUUCUGUCUCAAACGUAAACCCUGCCCGGGAUAGGAAUGAAAUUGUUUUCUGGAUCUACACUUGGAUAUGAUGCCUUGUUGGUAGCUUAUGGUUUAAAAUCGUUUUUUGUUCUAAAGCUUCAGAUUGUGGCUUUACUGGCAGAUGCAUUAAUUGAAAUGCAAGAACAAGUUUUGGCUGGCAAAGAUGAGAUAGGAACUAUGUAGAUGGUUUUGUGAGGUCUAUGAACCAAAACAAAUAUCGCAAAAAAUUCUAAAUCCGCAAGUGUGGCCACUAAUGCACUUCAAACCUGAAGAAAACUAAAACAUUGUGUAAAGAGACUGAAGGAAAGAAAUCAACAACACAAAAAGAAGAUUAAUGAGAAGCGGAAGAAUGGAAAAGUUAACUCUGGCUUGCAUAAUAUCAUCCAUGAACAAGAAACUGAAUCUAAAAAUGAGUGUGAACAAGUUCCAUCGAAUACACGAAUUACCAUUUGUGUUCAUAAAUCUAUUCAAAUCUCCGAAGUUACUGCAACUGAUGAUUUAAUUCCCUUAGAAGUUCAUGUUGAUGCAUAGUCAAUUGCUGAACCAAUGUGGAGGUAUCAAUUUUUCUGGCCCAUUUGUCCAGUUUUUUCAUCAACUGCUACACCAGCCAGCUUCUUGCUUUUGGGGUCAGCUUUGGUUGCGUCUCUCUUAAUUGUGUUUGGGGCUCUUUUGUCCUGGUUCUCUAUGAAACGACAACAUGGUAUUAUAGUUAUGGUGGACCAGCAGUAUUACUCGACGUUUUAGGCUCACAGCGAGGUGUGCGGUUGAAGGAAAUUGUGAAGUCGACUGUAAUUCGCGCGGGUUACAUGUCAUGUGUUGCACUUAUGAAGAGUAGUAGGCUUUGGUUUUAUGCAAAUGGCAUUACAAUAUCGAUUGAAUUCGGAGAGGCAUCGUAUCAGUUUAGGCAUUCUUACAUCCCUUCUACAUGACAAUGUUUUUAGCCACAUCAGUUUAAUCUUUUCGGGAGUAUUUGGAAUUUUCUAUGUGGGCUUCAGGUGCUAUGAGCUGAAUCAUUUGUUCUGCUUUUGCUCCAACUGCAUUUUGGUUCUGUCUUGGACUGUCGCGGUAUCUGGUUUGGUGCUGGUGGUGUUUAGUUGAUGUUUACAGCUUUGCUUACUUUGUGAUAUUUGAUAUGGUUAUGGUUUGAUUGUGUUUUCGGGUGGUUAUUAGUGCUAUAUUUCGUACUGGUUCUGGUUUUGAAUUCGUACUUGUUCUGCUUUAUUAAUGGUGAUGCAAGCAUUCGGUCAAA
Molecule: long non-coding RNA, 1705 nt
Organism: Vicia villosa (hairy vetch)
Lineage: Eukaryota; Viridiplantae; Streptophyta; Magnoliopsida; Fabales; Fabaceae
Exons: 5
Source: RefSeq, a predicted model, not a curated record